UACGUAGGGCGCAAGCGUUGUCCGGAAUUAUUGGGCGUAAAGAGCUCGUAGGCGGCUUGUCGCGUCGGAUGUGAAAGCCCGGGGCUUAACCCCGGGUCUGCAUUCGAUACGGGCAGGCUAGAGUGUGGUAGGGGAGAUCGGAAUUCCUGGUGUAGCGGUGAAAUGCGCAGAUAUCAGGAGGAACACCGAUGGCGAAGGCAGGUCUCUGGGCCGAUACUGACGCUGAGGAGCGAAAGCGUGGGGAGCGAACAGG
This 253-nucleotide ribosomal RNA is filed under the name uncultured bacterium. RNAcentral describes it as "partial 16S ribosomal RNA". It matches the Rfam family "Bacterial small subunit ribosomal RNA", at positions 524 to 776 of the family's 1533-position model. The record is from RNAcentral.